AUACAGGGGGUGCGAGCGUUAAUCGGAAUUACUGGGCGUAAAGAGUACGUAGGCGGUUGCUUAAGUCAGAUGUGAAAGCCCCGGGCUCAACUUGGGAACUGCAUUUGAAACUGAGUGACUAGAGUUUAAGAGAGGGGAGUAGAAUUCCGGGUGUAGCGGUGAAAUGCGUAGAGAUCCGGAGGAAUACCAGUGGCGAAGGCGGCUCCCUGGCUUAAAACUGACGCUGAGGUACGAAAGCGUGGGUAGCAAACAGGAUUAGAUACCCGUGUAGUCC
Molecule: ribosomal RNA, 274 nt
Filed under: uncultured bacterium
Lineage: Bacteria
Description: partial 16S ribosomal RNA
Rfam family: Bacterial small subunit ribosomal RNA
Source: RNAcentral